AUGUUCCGCGUUCGGCUAGAGAAUGACACCAUCAUCCUAGGCUAUAUUUCAGGAAAGAUACGGUCUAGUUCUAUACGAAUACUGAUGGGGGAUAGGGUCAAAAUUGAAGUAAGUCGUUAUGAUUCAAGCAAGGGACAUAUAAUUUAUAGACUUCCCCAUAAGGAUUCGAAGCGUAUCGAAGACUCGAAGGAUAGCGAAGAUUUGAAGGAUAGCGAAGAUUUGAAGGAUACCAAAGAUUCAAAGGAUUAG
This 249-nucleotide ribosomal RNA is filed under the name Triticum aestivum (bread wheat). RNAcentral describes it as "partial small subunit ribosomal RNA". Lineage: Eukaryota; Viridiplantae; Streptophyta; Magnoliopsida; Poales; Poaceae. The record is from RNAcentral.